RNAcentral lists this ribosomal RNA (427 nucleotides) under uncultured bacterium. Its description in RNAcentral is "partial 16S ribosomal RNA". It matches the Rfam family "Bacterial small subunit ribosomal RNA", at positions 355 to 774 of the family's 1533-position model. RNAcentral also lists the same sequence under 1 other name. The record is from RNAcentral.
UGGGGAAUAUUGCACAAUGGGCGCAAGCCUGAUGCAGCCAUGCCGCGUGUGUGAAGAAGGCCUUCGGGUUGUAAAGCACUUUCAGCGAGGAGGAAGGUGGUGGACUUAAUACGUUCAUCAAUUGACGUUACUCGCAGAAGAAGCACCGGCUAACUCCGUGCCAGCAGCCGCGGUAAUACGGAGGGUGCAAGCGUUAAUCGGAAUUACUGGGCGUAAAGCGCACGCAGGCGGUUUGUUAAGUCAGAUGUGAAAUCCCCGGGCUCAACCUGGGAACUGCAUUUGAAACUGGCAAGCUAGAGUCUCGUAGAGGGGGGUAGAAUUCCAGGUGUAGCGGUGAAAUGCGUAGAGAUCUGGAGGAAUACCGGUGGCGAAGGCGGCCCCCUGGACGAAGACUGACGCUCAGGUGCGAAAGCGUGGGGAGCAAACA